UAGUGCCCUCUCCAGCUCAGUCAUCAUCCACAUACCCCAGGACACUGUCCGAGCCAAAGAGAUCAUCGCCUACGUCAACACGCUGAAGACUCAGGUCAGCUAUUACGCAGAGAGGCUGUCUCAAGCUGCCAAAGACCAAUCGGCCAGCGGACUGGAGUGGACGCUCGCCAGUCUGGUUGACAAGACCCGUCAGCUGGUGGCAGUGUGCGGCUGCAAGCUGCUAGCUUCAGCUAUUUAGGCCCUGAACGCAGUACGAGUACAUCGCAACCAAAGCUUCUCCUUCCGCUGAGUCUGAACAAGUAGUGCUCCGCAAUGACCAGGAUACGCUGAGAGCAAAGUACAGCGGUCACAACAGCCAGUCGUCACUGCACGUGGACUGGCACGAAGAGGAGUGGGCCACGCCCACGGACUACAGCGCCAUGAUGAGC
Molecule: RNA transcript, 428 nt
Organism: Maylandia zebra (zebra mbuna)
Lineage: Eukaryota; Metazoa; Chordata; Actinopteri; Cichliformes; Cichlidae
Gene name: inositol polyphosphate-4-phosphatase type I A-like
Source: RefSeq, a predicted model, not a curated record